AAUGAUUGAAUUUUAAGUUAAAAGUUAGUAAAAGGUUGAUUUGUAAAAUAAAACAUAAGUUUUGAAUUGAUAGGAAUUAAAUUGAAAGAAUCCCGAAAUUAGGGAUUUAUGGGGAAAUUGAAGAAUUAAACUGAGUUUAUAGUAAGAAUUAAGAGAGAAUAUAGAGUUAGAAUGCAAAAAUAAAAUUAGUAUUGAUAAGGGAUUAAAUUAGAAUUUGAUGUUGCCAUAGAAGGGAAAAAUGUUCAGAAUGUUAUAAAACAUAAGAAUAAGAGAUGAAGUUUAAUUUCCGAGCCUUGGGACAAAAAUGUAAUUAUGUAAAAGUUUAGGGGCAAAAUUGUAAUUUUGAAAAAGUUAGAGUCGAGGGCUAUUUUGAUGAAUGUGAUUAUUAAAUAAGUUAAAUUUACUAUUUUAGAUCAAGAAGUACGAAACUCGAGGUUAGACAAAGGGAAGAAUAAAGUUGAAGACUAAGUUGGUGAAUUUGGCUAUAAUUGGUACCGAGGUAAGUUUACGGUAAAUAAAUGCAAUAUUUCAAUAUUUAUUAUUAAUGCUGUUAAUUUCCAGCAAUUAUGAAUUUAUUUUAUGAAUUUAUUUGAUGAUGAUCCAAGCAUGAAAUGAUAGAGAAUUAAAAUUUAAAAGUCCCGUUGAUACAUAAGGAUGAUACUGAAUACGAAUGUCAUGACAUUUGGGUAAAGAGAUCCCAUGUAAGACCAUGUCUGGGACAUGGCAUUGGCAUCCUUAAGAUCAUGAGAGGUCCCCUGUAAGACCAUGUCUGGGACAUGGCAUGGGCACCGAGACGAGAGGUCCCAUGUAAGACCAUGUCUGGGACAUGGCGUUGGCACCGAGAUGAGAGGUCCCCUAUAAGACCAUGUCUGGGACAUGGCAUGGGCACCAUCACGAGAACAUCCCAUGUAAGACCAUGUCUGGGACAUGGCUUUGGCAUGUUAUUAUCAGAAGAGACCCGAGUAUCCUUAUUAUUCCAAUGUAGUUCAACGGGCUUGUAAACGAAUCAUGUUCAUGAAAGUUCAGUUUAAAGCAUAAAUGGCAAGCUCAGGUAAGUUGUAAGACUUAAGAACUUAUUAUACUAUCAAUUGAUGUUCAACGAUGCAGCAAGGAUUGAGUAAGUUAUGCACACAAAUAUUCUAAGUAAACAAGUAAGAGAACUAGUAUGAGAUUAACUAAAGAGUAAACUAGAGAUAUAGACAUUGAGUUUAAUUAUUUAAGUUAAAUAUUGUUAUUUAUUUGCUAGUAAACUUACUAAGCUUUAUGCUUACUUCUUUUAUUUCUCUUUCUCUUAUAGUAUUGCAAAGCUACUUCAAGGAUCCUAAAGAAGUCGGAGAUCGUCCACACUAUCAACUACAACUGCUCGGUAUUUUAUAUCGAAACACGUUUAAGUUAUGGCAUGUAUAGGGAUUUAGUUAUUUUGUAUGUUUGUAGUGAUGAUUUUGCUAAUGAGUGAUGUGUAAGUAUUUGAUGAUGUAUGGUUAUUAAAAUGAUUAAGGAUGAAGGUGUUUGUUGUUAUGAAAGAUUAGGUGAUAAAUUAUGCAUGGAAAAAUAAUGGUGUAGAAAAAGGAAAUUUAUAUUUUAAGAUAUGUGAAUUUUAGUAAGAUAGGGUCAGAACUAUUUUUGGAGUCCCCUGUUCUGAGUUUAGAAAAUAAUUAAAAAUUGUACAAAAAUGGUUAUGAGUUGAAAUUUACAUGCUUAGAUUCCUUAAUGAGUCUAUUUUCUAUAGAAACAAGUAAGAACUUCAUAUGAAAAUCCUAUAGUGAGAAAACUUAUUUUUAGUGACUAGAGGUCAGGGCAGUCUGGUGGUGACACAGGGGAGACUUUAACUAAUAAACUGUACUAAUUUGCUGAACCAAAAAUUCUAAAAAUUUUAUGGUGUGUAGAUAUAUGAGUCUAGUUUCAGGGAAAAUUUACGGGAUUAAAUUUCGAGUUCUGUAGCUCAAGUUAUAAUUAAUUUAGUAACUGCUGCGCGAUUAGACAGAUAUGCUGAGAAUAAUGAAAUAAAUUUUCAAACCUAGUUUUUAUGCUCCGAAUUGGUAAGAUAAGCUAAGUAAUGCCUCGUGCUCGACUCCGGAAACGGUCUCGGGUAAGGGGUGUUACAUUUUAUUGGUAUCAGAGCAGGUUUAGUCGGUUCUCGAAAAUACUCAGUAAGAAUAAGGGUCUACCUAUACAUGCCAUACUUAUAUAUUUUGAUAGUGUGACGACUCCUGACGAUUUUAAAAUGUUUUCUUUUAUAGUUAUGGAUCCUGAACGAGCUAGUACAGAUGAAGUAGAGAGUAAUGCACCUAUUCCCGCAGAAGGGACGGUGCCAUCAGAUGUUAUAUCAGUCCCAUAUUUCCUAAGUGUUCUGUUUCGUCUACUGGGCCUCUGCUAACAAAAAAAAUGUUACAAGAUAAAAGAUUAUCUUUGAUUCAAUGAUGAAUGAUUAUAAAGGAAAAAUAAGUUACAAAGCUGUGAAUAAAGAAGUAUGUAUUUGUAAUAAAAUAAUUUAAAGUUGUGAAUAAGUAAAUGUUAUUUAGUUCUGUAUGGAGAUUUAAAAUAGUAAUCCUUAUAGAUAAGGAUGAAAAUAUACAUUUAUACACUUAAAAGAGUAACCUUGAUAAAUGAGAAAUGUUUUACUAAUAGACAAAAAAUGUCUCCAAUUGAUCUAGUUCCGACAGUGAUGAAAGUGAUAUUUGAGUAUUUGAUAGAGAAAGGGGAGUUGCCUAUAUGAGUAAAGAUUUAUAAGGUAUGAAAUGAAUGUUUGUAAUGAAUAUAUUGACGAUAAAAGUCAUGUUAUGUGUAUAUAUAUAAGUAUAUAUAUAAGAGUCAAAUUUUGAGGCUUUACGACCUUCACCCUCUCACCUGAACAAUGGAAUUUACAAGAAUUGUAUUCAUUAAGUUUACAAGUGUGAAAUUGAAGAGUUCAAUAAUUGAAGGAAUAAUAAUGUAGUCAGAAUUGUGGAUGGGAUAGCAAGUAAAGAGAGUUCUAGAAAGGAUAUUAGAUUUUUUUUAAAUGAUUAUUGGGAUUUGCAAUGUCGCUAUUAAGGAAGAAGCUAUUCACGAGUAACCGACUUACUCAGGUAUAAAAUUUAAAGAGCAGGUUAAUCGGAAUUUCUUCUGAAUUGAUUUCUUUAAUGAUUGAGAUAAUGUGAGAUUAUUGAUGACUUUAGUAAUCAGUGGGAUUGUGUUGAAAAUUGCAAACAUAUCUGAAUGCAGUUGUUAUAGUCGAGUAUUUUACAAUGAUCUCUUCUGGGUAUUCUAUAUGGGUAUUCUAUAUGCUCUUUUAUCCUCAGAGGUAUAUGCAAUUAUUUAUUUUCAGAUAUGAUUCUUAUCAUAUAGCAAGGUUGGCUAAUCGUAUUGUUAGACGAAAUUAUUAUUAGUCUGGUUGAUUCAUGAUCGGGAUUCCUCUAUCUUUCUUUGGUUUUCUAAUCUAUUAUGUUCGAUGGAAGAUUUGAUGAUAAGACUCAUAUGAGGCUAUUUUCUAUUUCUACUGGUUGAAGCUCCGAAUUAUAUAUAUGGAAUUUAUAUUGUCUUUAUCACAACUAUUCCUAGUACGUACAAGUGAUAUUCUUCUUUUGGAUUUUCUCUUGGAUAUCAUCGAUCUCUUUAUCAUUCAAUGUGGUUUUUCUUCUCGGAAAUUUAGUAUAGCUUCACAUCUUGGAUUUUAUUAUCUCGGUUUUCUUAUUAUUCUUAUGGUCUAAUCUUAUCUAUUAACCAUGGUUUAUCCGUACAAGAUAUUCAUUGGCCGGAGGUAAUUAUAUUUAUUACUGUUAUAAAUCUUGGUUUGAUCAUGGGAACUCGGUGAUAUGGAUCUCAGAUUUUAGAAGUUGUAUUACUGCACUGGUUGUUAUUGGGACUACUUCGCUUUUCUUCAUCUAUUUUGGAGUGCACUAUUGAUGUUGAGGUAUUGUUCUAUCUAUAUAGUUGGAACGUCGGUCCUAGUAUAGCUCUAUAGUUUUUAAUCUAUUUGAUGGUUGUGGCUUUGGUAUAGUUCAAAGCUUCGAUGUUAAUGAUUGAAAUAGUUUUAUUAUAUAUAUAAUUCCUUUCUAGUUUUCGUGAAAGGGUUGACAUCGGCAAAAGUAUAGAUGGAGGAAGAUUGAGCUCAAACUUGUAUUUUGGUUUUCAUUUCUCAGGUAAUUCUGAAAUUAUGUCAACAAGUCAAUAAUGGAAUGUCAAAAUUCGGUUGAGUUAAAUGCUAUUUGUGGAAAUUUUCGAUUGGUGUUCUGAGAGGAUUAUGAUAUAUGGUAUAUCUGGAUUGUUUUGACAACAAGAAGAAUGGAUUAUUCUGAAAUGUUAUUAUCUGAUAGAUAAAAUCGACUCAGUUGUUUUAAUCAGAGUGGGUUAUUCAUUGAAAAGUUAAUUGAGUUAUAAUCAGUGAUGGAAUUAGUACAUCUUGGGUCUCCACAAUGGGUUUAAAUUAUCUGUUUUCUUAUCGCUGGAUGGGUUUCCAAGAUCUUCGUUCAAAGGUAUUAAAUAAGAUAAUUCGGGUUUCUCAGUUAUGUUUUGACAGACAAUUACUGGACAUUUCUUGGUAGUCAUACUACUAGUGAAAAAGUGAUGGCAAGAGAACAUCAGAGCUGCUCAGUUAAGUUCAGGCAUAGUAUCAAUUUCUAAAAUGAGUUUUGAUAUGAGUUCGGAAGUGAUAUGAGUUAUGAUUAAUUUUUAUGGACUUCGAUUGAAAGGGGUGAAGAAAGAUUUGACUUAAUAGCUUGUAUCAGGUGAGAAAUUUCGAGGACGAAAAUUUUUUUAAGGGGGGAAGAGUUGUAACAGCCCAAUUUUCAAUAGUGUCAGAACAGUGAUUUGAGAUCACUAAAUUCGAUGAAGAAGUUAGAAAUAUUUUUGAAUUAGUGAAUUUUGUGAUUUAAAAGAAAUUAUUAGGUAAAUUGGGUCGAAAACGAGGUAUCGAGACCUCGAUAUUAUAAACUGAGCCGUAAAUAUUUUUAUAAAUAUUUACGGAGUGUCAAUAGGAUAAUAUUAAAGUUUCGUUAAGAAAUUUUAAUGUUUCGAUAGUUACUUAUGAAAAAGGAUUAAAUUGCAAUAGGGAUAAAAGUUUAAUUAUAGAUUAAAGAAAAGUUAAAAGGACCAAAUAGGCAAUUAUGCCUUUUUCUAAAGUUGAGGCGGCAUAAUGAAAGAAAUAUCUGAGAUAUUCUAGUUAAUAUAUAUAUUAUAUAUAUGUAAGUAAUGAUUAUUUUUAAUAUUUUAUAUUAUAUUAUAUUAUAUAUAUAUAUAUAACAAAAGAAAGAAUAGAAAUGAGAAAGAAAGAAACAGAGAGCAAAACGAAACAGAGAAGGGAGAAAGAAGAAAAAGAAAGAGCGACGGUUCAGGGGUUUCAAAACUUCUAAAUUCAAUUGGUAAGUCAAUUUAGUCCCUUUUUCUUAUGGUUUUGAUAUUUUUGGAAUCCUAGAGCAAAAUACUACUUGAUUUAAGUGGAAAUUUUGGAAGUUAGUAGGUUAUUAGAUGUUGUUCAUGUUGAAUUAAUUGAUGAAUUAGAUGUUAAAAUGAUUGAAUUUUAAGUUAAAAGUUAGUAAAAGGUUGAUUUGUAAAAUAAAACAUAAGUUUUGAAUUGAUAGGAAUUAAAUUGAAAGAAUCCCGAAAUUAGGGAUUUAUGGGGAAAUUGAAGAAUUAAAUUGAGUUUAUAGUAAGAAUUAAGAGAGAAUAUAGAGUUAGAAUGCAAAAAUAAAAUUAGUAUUGAUAAGGGAUUAAAUUAGAAUUUGAUGUUGCCAUAGAAGG
This 5715-nucleotide long non-coding RNA is filed under the name Gossypium barbadense (sea-island cotton). RNAcentral's name for it is "long non-coding RNA (GBAR_LNC017067)". The record is from RNAcentral. Lineage: Eukaryota; Viridiplantae; Streptophyta; Magnoliopsida; Malvales; Malvaceae.